RNAcentral lists this ribosomal RNA (501 nucleotides) under uncultured bacterium. RNAcentral's name for it is "bacterial SSU rRNA". It matches the Rfam family "Bacterial small subunit ribosomal RNA", at positions 30 to 504 of the family's 1533-position model. The record is from RNAcentral.
CGAACGCUGGCGGCGUGCUUAACACAUGCAAGUCGAACGAGAAAUUUUCCGUUCGCGGAAAAGAGUAAAGUGGCGCACGGGUGAGUAACGCGUGGGUAACCUGCCCCUGAAUUCGGGAUAACCCGCCGAAAGGCGGACUAAUACCGGAUAUUGUCCUGAUGGCUGUGGCUAUUGGGAUGAAAAGUGACCUCUUCAUGAAAGUUGCUGUUCAGGGAGGGGCCCGCGUACCAUUAGCUUGUUGGUGGGGUAAUGGCCUACCAAGGCGACGAUGGUUAGCUGGUCUGAGAGGAUGAUCAGCCACACUGGCACUGAAACACGGGCCAGACUCCUACGGGAGGCAGCAGUGAGGAAUUUUGCGCAAUGGGGGAAACCCUGACGCAGCAACGCCGCGUGAGUGAAGAAGGCCUUCGGGUCGUAAAGCUCUGUCAAGUGGGAAAAAAAGCUUUCGAUUAAUAGUCGAGAGAACUGAUGGUACCACUAAAGGAAGCACCGGCUAACUCC